RNAcentral lists this ribosomal RNA (54 nucleotides) under Aspergillus nomiae. RNAcentral's name for it is "Aspergillus nomius partial 28S ribosomal RNA". Lineage: Eukaryota; Fungi; Ascomycota; Eurotiomycetes; Eurotiales; Aspergillaceae. RNAcentral also lists the same sequence under 10 other names. The record is from RNAcentral.
GGUUGACCUCGGAUCAGGUAGGGAUACCCGCUGAACUUAAGCAUAUCAAUAAGC